GAUGAACGCUGGCGGCGUGCCUAAUACAUGCAAGUCGAGCGAACAGACGAGGAGCUUGCUCCUCUGACGUUAGCGGCGGACGGGGGAGUAACACGUGGAUAACCUACUUAUAAGACUGGGAUAACUUCGGGAAACCGGAGCUAAUACCGGAUAAUAUAUUGAACCGCAUGGUUCAAUAGUGAAAGACGGUUUUGCUGUCACUUAUAGAUGGAUCCGCGCCGCAUUAGCUAGUUGGUAAGGUAACGGCUUACCAAGGCAACGAUGCGUAGCCGACCUGAGAGGGUGAUCGGCCACACUGGAACUGAGACACGGUCCAGACUCCUACGGGAGGCAGCAGUAGGGAAUCUUCCGCAAUGGGCGAAAGCCUGACGGAGCAACGCCGCGUGAGUGAUGAAGGUCUUCGGAUCGUAAAACUCUGUUAUUAGGGAAGAACAAAUGUGUAAGUAACUAUGCACGUCUUGACGGUACCUAAUCAGAAAGCCACGGCUAACUACGUG
Molecule: ribosomal RNA, 497 nt
Filed under: uncultured bacterium
Lineage: Bacteria
Description: partial 16S ribosomal RNA
Rfam family: Bacterial small subunit ribosomal RNA
Source: RNAcentral